CCUACGGGAGGCAGCAGUGGGGAAUAUUGCACAAUGGGGGAAACCCUGAUGCAGCGACGCCGCGUGAGUGAAGAAGUAUUUCGGUACGUAAAGCUCUAUCAGCAGGGAAGAAAAUGACGGUACCUGACUAAGAAGCCCCGGCUAACUACGUGCCAGCAGCCGCGGUAAUACGUAGGGGGCAAGCGUUAUCCGGAUUUACUGGGUGUAAAGGGAGCGUAGACGGCAGCGCAAGUCUGGAGUGAAAUCCCAUGGCUGAACCAUGGAACUGUUUUGGAAACUGUGCAGCUAGAGUGCAGGAGAGGUAGGCGGAAUUCAUGGUGUAGCGGUGAAAUGCGUAGAUAUUAGGAGGAACACCAGUUGCGAAGGCGGCUUACUGGACUGUAACUGACGUUGAGGCUCGAAAGCGUGGGGAGCAAACAGGAUUAGAUACCCUUGUAGUC
This 440-nucleotide ribosomal RNA is filed under the name uncultured bacterium. RNAcentral's name for it is "partial 16S ribosomal RNA". It matches the Rfam family "Bacterial small subunit ribosomal RNA", at positions 338 to 795 of the family's 1533-position model. The record is from RNAcentral.